This 338-nucleotide unclassified non-coding RNA is filed under the name Hevea brasiliensis (rubber tree). The record is from RNAcentral. Lineage: Eukaryota; Viridiplantae; Streptophyta; Magnoliopsida; Malpighiales; Euphorbiaceae.
AAGAAGAAGAAGAAGAAGACGACAAUGAAAUUGGAGAAGGAAAUAUGAUUCUUAUAAUAGAAAUAAGUGAAGAUAACAAUCCAUCUCAAUUACAGAGCAAUUCUGUUAUAAAUGCAAGAGACUAAAGAAAAUCAAUAAGUAAAUCCCUUCCCCAGGAGAGCUAGCUGCUACAUUUCCUCCAAGCUCUAACCUGGAAAAUCAAAAUUAGCAGAAAUGAAUCAUGCCCCUUCAUGCCUCUUCAUUCCCUUGUAUAGCAUUAACCCACUACUGAUCUGAUAGCACGUGUCUCCUCCUCUAUCAGAGAGUUUAGUGGUGUAACCAAAUUAUGAUCAUCCAAG